This 82-nucleotide ribosomal RNA is filed under the name uncultured bacterium. Its description in RNAcentral is "partial 16S ribosomal RNA". The record is from RNAcentral.
UCAUGAAAGCCGGCUGUACCCGAAGUCAUCGUGCUAACUGCAAAGAGGCAGAUGCCGAAGGUAUGGCUGGUGAUUGGGAGUG